This 253-nucleotide ribosomal RNA is filed under the name uncultured bacterium. Its description in RNAcentral is "partial 16S ribosomal RNA". It matches the Rfam family "Bacterial small subunit ribosomal RNA", at positions 524 to 776 of the family's 1533-position model. The record is from RNAcentral.
UACAGAGGUCCCAAGCGUUGUUCGGAUUCACUGGGCGUAAAGGGUGCGUAGGCGGUCGGGUAAGUCUGAUGUGAAAUCUCACAGCUUAACUGUGAAACUGCAUUGGAUACUAUCCGGCUAGAGGAAUUGAGGGGAGACUGGAAUACUUGGUGUAGCAGUGAAAUGCGUAGAUAUCAAGUGGAACACCAGUGGCGAAGGCGAGUCUCUGGACAUUUCCUGACGCUGAGGCACGAAAGCCAGGGGAGCAAACGGG